Molecule: ribosomal RNA, 253 nt
Filed under: uncultured bacterium
Lineage: Bacteria
Description: partial 16S ribosomal RNA
Rfam family: Bacterial small subunit ribosomal RNA
Source: RNAcentral
UACAGAGGGGGCAAGCGUUGUUCGGAAUUACUGGGCGUAAAGGGCGCGUAGGCGGCCCGCUAAGUCGAACGUGAAAUCCCCGAGCUCAACUCGGGAACUGCGUCCGAUACUGGUGGGCUUGAAUCCGGGAGAGGGAUGCGGAAUUCCAGGUGUAGCGGUGAAAUGCGUAGAUAUCUGGAGGAACACCGGUGGCGAAGGCGGGUCUCUGGGCAGUAACUGACGCUGAGGAGCGAAAGCGUGGGGAGCGAACAGG